Molecule: long non-coding RNA, 3263 nt
Filed under: Marmota monax (woodchuck)
Lineage: Eukaryota; Metazoa; Chordata; Mammalia; Rodentia; Sciuridae
Source: RNAcentral
GUGAUUUCCAAGCCAUAUCUGGGCACAUACUUCCCAAAUCAGGGAAGUUUGGGCCCAUUUGGGUGAGAGAAAAGGGGUAAAUGCUGCACUAUUUAGUGUGAUUCAGGAUCAGAAGCAAUGCAAUGGGAGUCAGUUAUGGGGUAUUAUGGUCUCUAAGAGGAGGGGAUUUUACCAGGCAUGGGAACAAGGGUAUCCUGGAGAAAAUGAUGUCUAAGCUGAGUCCAGAACAGAAAGACCUACUUAAUUCUAACUGUGGUUAGAAAGUUGGUGUUGACAGACAGGGCAUGUGUCAAGCAAAGGUCCAGAGCGGGGAGAAGCAUGUUUCCUGAGAGCAGCAGAGAGUUCAGCAAGGGAUGAGAGUAGGGGAGCAGGGAUGGGAGGUGAAGAAGAGAUUGGAGACGGGGGGAUGGAGAUAGGCACAGGAGUUUGGACUUCAACAUGAAGGUGAGGGAGAACCACAGAAGAGUUACAAAGCCCUGAGAGAGACACACAUGGGACCUGGGCUUUAGAAAGAUGAUUCUGGAAGCAGCCUGAGAAGGGAUUAAGGACAGCAGAAGGGGAGAUGGGAGGCCCAUUAGGACCUGGAUGUUGCAAUAGGCACUUCAGCCCUUAUUUGAAUCUCACCCUUGUCCCUACUAAUGCUCUUUUCUCACCCAGGAUCCAGCCUAGAGUAUCGUAUUACAUUAGUCACCAUGUUUCCGUAGCCAGCUCAGAUCGGUAACAUUUUCUCAGUCUUUUCUUUCUCAGUCCUUUCAUGACCUUGAAGGUUGGGGCCUUUUUCAUUUUGAUAGUUGCUCUUAUUAAGUUGUGUGGGCGAGGGCCAAAGAGGAAGAAAGUCAAGGAAAUGGAUCCGGUACUCACCAGGUGUCAGCAAGGGAACAUAUUUUGGAGUCAGGCAUCCCUGGGUAAGAUUCUGUUUCUCACUGAACCAAGCAUUGUCAAGCAUAUGUCAGAUAGAACACGUAAAAGUACCAAGUACACACAGUGCCUGAUGUAGAAGGUAAAUACUGAUGGUCUGAAAAAGAUUUUUUUUUUUUUUUUAAUUUUUAAAUCUUUAUUUCAUACAGAAGGAAAUGGCCAAAGCAAAUCUAUCUUUGGGGACAAUCCUUUGUUCAUGGAAGACUGAAACUUAAAUCUAGGACUCAACAUAAUGAGGCUGUUUUUAAAAUUUAAUUUUUGUGUUCUAAAAAAUGCAUACUAUGACCCCUCCCAUUGGUCUGUUUAUUUUGAAGUUAAGCUUUAAACUUAACAUUUUUAUUUUAGGUUUUAUCUUCUAUUUUGCCAUUCAGUUUCACAUUCUGUUUCUUUCUGGAGAAAACCCUCAAUGUGGAGAACUUGUAGCCAGCCCCCAGCCCCUAGCACCCAGCCUUGGCUGGGAGUCUGGUCCUGCAUUCAGAGACAUGUGGGUCUGAAGCAGGCCUCCCUGAGGGACCUGAGCAAGUUACUUUAUCUCUUUAAGCCUCAAUUAUUCCUCUGCUUGGAGUUUUAAUUGAGACAAUGUGUGUGGAUGGCUUGGCGUGAGCACUCAAUUUGUGGUAGUGUCACAAGGAAGCAGAAUUAAGUAGUCUUAGCAUAUCUGCCUUUGCUCCUUCCUGUGCAGGCAUGGAUGUUGGGGGUGGUCUUUGCUCUUGGACUUUUACCUUGGCCAUAUUACCUCUUGGGUGGGAGGGCAUGUCUUUCCCAGUAUGUACCUACCUGUACUCCUCAUAUUAGUCAAUAUUUUAGAACUCAGAAGGCUUAGUGGACAGAGUCCACCCUGCUGGAAAUCUGAGUUCUGAGAACUUGCAGUUGGUUCACAUUCUUCCGAUGGGUGUCUUCUCUCCAGGGAACCAGAGGCAGGUGGUGGCAGCUUCAAGGGUGUGGACUCUGCCCAUCUGCUGGGUCAGAGGUGAGACCAAGGAUAACAUGUGUGGCUGAGACUCCACAUGGGGUGGCUCAGCUUAGUUUCUCAGGAGAGGCUAGUAUGCAAAUGGGAGGCUUUGCUUUUGAAAUUAUUUAAAGGUAAGAUCUCCAGCUCCCUCUUUUGGGGCUGCUUCUGAUUCACUGUCCAGGGCAUCAAGGUUGAUCAAGGAAUGAGUCCUUCUCAGGUGAGUUUCAGACAGGGUAGGUGUGGGGAGGAUGACUGAAGUCACAUGGGUAAUGAUUGAGAUGGCAGGUUAAUGGAGUAUCCCUCUCUAUGAGAAAUCAAGAGCUCCAGCAGGGGGCAGUAAUGUCUUUCUUAAAUAGUACAUACAUAUCAUUACCAAAGAACGUGUUUAAUAACUCUGGGUCAGCCUACAAAGACAGUUUUCAAAUUGUGACCAACAGUAAGAAAGAUGCUUUACAUUGUAUUCCAGUACAUACAUGCAUAAACAUACAUAUUUGUUGGACAAUUGCUUUCCAUUAAAAAUACUAUUACAGUUAAAAAAUAUGCAGUAUGUCUUGUUAAACAGAUUUCUUUCACUAACACGCAAUAUGAAAAGUGCUGACCUGGAGGUCGGUCUCUAAAAAAGUAUAGGAGGGUUCUGGCUUCUGUUUUUUCUUAAUCUCAUUUGAUGGACAACCUUUUGACACAGGAGACUAGUAUGUUUCAGAAUAAAAAUACUGGUUGACAUUGAAUGCAUUAGGUCUUAUGCAAUACCUUUGUGAGAAUUCUCUCCUGUAAUCCAGCAACACUUUGAGGUAGAUACUGUUAUUUCCAUUGGGAUUUAUACAAUGGAAGUAUUUUGACUAAAUCUGCAUUAAUAAGUGUUUGGGAUGAGAUUCGAACCUAAGUCUCUGCUGCUGAAACCAUUAUGUUUUAUUGUGUGUCUAUGACAGGAAGAUGUUUGUGGGAGAGAUGCUCUCCCUAAUGUGAUAAUGAAUAGAAGCUAGAUUAAAACUUGUAUCUGCAACUUGCAAUAUUGGAAUGAAAUCAAUUCAAUUGAUUCUAGUGGGGUCAAAAAUUGAUAAUAUUCAAAUGGAAAAUGGAAGGAGGAAAAGAAAGGUUAUAAUGACCAUGUGGAGAUAGGGCAGAAGCUUUAUAAACUAGAUUUUGAAGAUUCCUAGUGGGGAGUGAAUGAGAGAAGGAAACUUGCAAGAAACCUUAGAGUCAACAGAAGAGGUGUAUAGACCCCUGAGCAAGGGGCGGGCAGCCAGUGCAGCCUCUAGGGUCUCAUUCACCAUGAUCUUAUAGCUUGAAUGGUAGAAGCAAAAAAGGAACUCAAAGACACAAGAGAAUAACCGCUUUUGAUGGAAAAAAGCUGUUAGGAACAUCCUCCUCCUCCAAAUAUGUCAUAUGCAAC